GACGAACGCUGGCGGCGUGCUUAACACAUGCAAGUCGAACGGAAAGGCCCUGCUUUUGUGGGGUGCUCGAGUGGCGAACGGGUGAGUAACACGUGAGUAACCUGCCCUUGACUUUGGGAUAACCUCAGGAAACUGGGGCUAAUACCGGAUAGGAGCUCCUGCUGCAUGGUGGGGGUUGGAAAGUUUCGGCGGUUGGGGAUGGACUCGCGGCUUAUCAGCUUGUUGGUGGGGUAGUGGCUUACCAAGGCUUUGACGGGUAGCCGGCCUGAGAGGGUGACCGGCCACAUUGGGACUGAGAUACGGCCCAGACUCCUACGGGAGGCAGCAGAGGGGAAUAUUGCACAAUGGGCGGAAGCCUGAUGCAGCAACGCCGCGUGCGGGAUGACGGCCUUCGGGUUGUAAACCGCUUUCGCCUGUGACGAAGCGUGAGUGACGGUAAUGGGUAAAGAAGCACCGGCUAACUACGUG
This 468-nucleotide ribosomal RNA is filed under the name uncultured bacterium. Its description in RNAcentral is "partial 16S ribosomal RNA". It matches the Rfam family "Bacterial small subunit ribosomal RNA", at positions 28 to 507 of the family's 1533-position model. The record is from RNAcentral.